AUGGAGGCUGGUUCUGCAGGUGUGAUGGACAGAGAGAGUGGGGUCUGACUCAUCUGAAUAUCUCCUGUGGACCCUAAAUCAUUAGAGAGAAAGAUGCGGUCGUGUACAGGCAUCAUGAUUCAUUUUCAUAUUUUCUCCAUUACUUCAUAUUUAAAGCUCCCAGCUCCAGUGGAAUCUUCCUCACUCACACAGACCUCAAGCUCUUGUUCUCAUCCUGUCAAAGAAGGCUGCAGUCUCUGGCAUGGAGAGAACAACACAGGAAACAGUGGGAUCCCAUCCCAUUCACUUGCUCACCAUCCUCAUCUCCCUCCAUCCUUACCAGGGAUGCAGAGCAUUAGCAGCCCCAGACACGGAGCAGGAAGCCUCAUUUUGAAAUGCAGAAGCCAAUGUCCAGAUGAGUCAAGGCAAGUUGAGCUUUUAUCUGAGACUUGCUGGGAAGGGCCUCCCUGGGGACACCAAGGAAACACCCUGAUGGGCAUAGUGAGCGGCAGGAAGGGAGGCCUCUCUCUUGAGCAAAGUUGUUUCAUAUCUUGGUAUUUGGGGGAAAGCAAAAGAGAAAAUAUCCAUGUGGUGUCCGGCACUAGGAAGAAGGAUCCCAUUGUGAAAGGCAGAGGUCCCUGUUGGAACAUGGUACACAGUGCUCUUCUCCAGUAAGGAAAACACUGCCAUCUCUAUUUACAGCUCAGCAGAACAGCUCUGUGCUAGUGACAGCAUGGAGCCUGGAGAGGGCUUCUGGCAAAUGUGGUUUCCAGGUGAACUUAGUCUUCAAGGGCCCAGUGGUUAUACAACAUGGGCUACUGCUGUCAACAAAAUUUGCCAGGAACAUUAAAAAAACAAACAAAAAACCCCCCCAAAAACCCCAAAUGUCUGUUUGAGCUAGAGUACCAGGUGUCCUGUUGAGGUCAAGUGGAGAAGGUGACAAUGAUUGUGUCUUAGGUAAUCGAUAUGCAAUUCCCAGCAUUAGUUUAAUUGAUGAAUAUCCUGUCCUACUUAUCUCCAUAGAGAGAUGUUAACAUGAGUAUGAAGAUAUAUUAACAUGUAAAUGGGUAUACUAUGAACAUAUGUUUGUAUAGAAAUGUAUCUCUGAUUAUGAGUGUAUACAUGUUAAUGUGUAUCUAUUGUAUAUGAAUAAAUGAAUAUAUAUAUAUAUAUAUAAA
This is a long non-coding RNA of Cavia porcellus (domestic guinea pig), 1157 nucleotides long. RefSeq lists it as uncharacterized. The record is from RefSeq and is a predicted model, not a curated record. The transcript has 2 exons. NCBI's taxonomy places the organism in Eukaryota, Metazoa, Chordata, Mammalia, Rodentia, Caviidae.